AGCUUUGCGCAGUGGCAGUAUUGUAGCCAAUGAGGCUUAUCCGAGGCAUGAUUAUUGCUAAUUGAAAACUUCCCAAUACCUCACCAUGGCAGUUUGAAAUAUAGUCCGUAUUGGCAAUUUUUGACAGUCUCUACAAAGA
Molecule: small nuclear RNA, 139 nt
Organism: Cebus imitator (Panamanian white-faced capuchin)
Lineage: Eukaryota; Metazoa; Chordata; Mammalia; Primates; Cebidae
Product: U4 spliceosomal RNA
Exons: 1
Source: RefSeq, a predicted model, not a curated record